RNAcentral lists this small RNA (109 nucleotides) under Marmota monax (woodchuck). The record is from RNAcentral. Lineage: Eukaryota; Metazoa; Chordata; Mammalia; Rodentia; Sciuridae.
UCUGGGUGUGGUGGUGCACACCUGUAAUCCCAGUAUCGUGGGAGGCUGAAGCAGGAGGAUCACAAGUUCUAAGACAGUCUCAGUAAUUUAGUGAGGCCUUGAGCUUCUU